This 119-nucleotide ribosomal RNA is filed under the name Pteropus alecto (black flying fox). Lineage: Eukaryota; Metazoa; Chordata; Mammalia; Chiroptera; Pteropodidae. The record is from RNAcentral.
GUCUACAGUCAUACCACCCUGAACAAGCCCAAUCCCAUCUGAUCUCAGAAGCCAAGCAGAGUCCAGCCUGGAUAGUACUUGGAUUGGAGACCACCUAGGAAAACCAGGUGCUGUAGGCA